AGAGUUUGAUCCUGGCUCAGGACGAACGCUGGCGGCGCGCCUAACACAUGCAAGUCGAACGGAGCUUAGAGAGCUUGCUUUUUAAGCUUAGUGGCGAACGGGUGAGUAACGCGUGAGUAACCUGCCCUAGAGUGGGGGACAACAGUUGGAAACGACUGCUAAUACCGCAUAAGCCCACGGUGCCGCAUGACACUGAGGGAAAAGGAUUUAUUCGCUUUAGGAUGGACUCGCGUCCAAUUAGCUAGUUGGUGAGGUAACGGCCCACCAAGGCGACGAUUGGUAGCCGGACUGAGAGGUUGAACGGCCACAUUGGGACUGAGACACGGCCCAGACUCCUACGGGAGGCAGCAGUGGGGGAUAUUGCACAAUGGGGGAAACCCUGAUGCAGCGACGCCGCGUGGAGGAAGAAGGUUUUCGGAUUGUAAACUCCUGUCGUUAGGGACGAUAAUGACGGUACCUAACAAGAAAGCACCGGCUAACUACGUGCCAGCAGCCGCGGUAAAACGUAGGG
This 511-nucleotide ribosomal RNA is filed under the name human gut metagenome. RNAcentral's name for it is "bacterial SSU rRNA". It matches the Rfam family "Bacterial small subunit ribosomal RNA", at positions 8 to 532 of the family's 1533-position model. The record is from RNAcentral.